CCCGCUGAACUUAAGCAUAUCAUUAAGCGGUGGAAAAGAAACUAACCAGGAUUCCCCUAGUAACGGCGAGCGAACCGGGA
This is a ribosomal RNA of Volvox carteri f. nagariensis, 80 nucleotides long. It matches the Rfam family "Eukaryotic large subunit ribosomal RNA", at positions 24 to 103 of the family's 3401-position model. Lineage: Eukaryota; Viridiplantae; Chlorophyta; Chlorophyceae; Chlamydomonadales; Volvocaceae. The record is from Rfam.